ACUACAAUAAGUAAACGGUGUGAAGCAGAUCAAACGACAUUGCGCGUGACGGCGAGACGACGCCUAGACGAGCCUAACGCGAAAGCGAGUUAACGGAAAAUGUUCAUAGCUCAAAAAGGCUCGUACCAGCACUCUGCGUCGCUUUUAUCUCCUUCCUCAAUGUCUCCCUCAGCUCAUACCGUCGCACCAGAAAAAGCAGCAGCAGGUCACGCAAAUUGUCCUUGGUAGCAUGAGAUUGCUUCACGUCGCGCCCAAGGACGUUGGGAUCGAAUCCCAACCAUCUAUUUCUCCUUUCCCGCUUCAGAAUGGUUUGAACCUUCAGAAAAUGGUGUCUUGCCAGAAAUGGUGAAAUUUUUGAAGUUUGAUUUUCGAUUUUUGUCCUUGUCUUAUUGAUUUUUCACCCCUUUCCCCCAAAAAAAUUGAACCCUAAUUUUUGCCUAUACAUAGUCUCUUCAUCUUCAAUCAGGGGGAAGUUUUUUUUAAAUAAAUUGGAGAAUUGUAGUCAAAAAUUUUUUUACUAAGGCAAAAAGAAAGUUUGAGCAAAAAAUACUUUAGUACACACUAAAUACACUUCAAGGAAAAGAAAGGGAGUGCUUUUAUUGUUAAUGCGUUGGGUUUGAAACCUUUCUCGACUGUUGUCCGUGUCGUUAUUUGCGUGGUGGAGGUCAUUGUUAUCUAUCUUUGCUCGUUGCUAUCCCAAUUUUGCUGCACUUCGAAAGGCCAUAGAGGCCUAAAAACUUUUCAUCUAGUCAGCCAAGUCUGUGGAAUUGACACACAGGUGGAAGACGAUGAAUAGAUGGCUGAAAUUUUUUGAUUUUUCAGACUCUAAAAAGCCUGAAAAUAGGUGAUAUACCUAUUGUAUACACUGUAAUACAGCCAAAAAUAUGAUUUAUGGGUUGCUAAAAAUGUCAGAACAUAGAUCGUAAAAUACAGCUCGGAGUUGAUGAAAAGAAUAAUCAUAUGACAAAAUACGGACCAAAAUACGGUCUGUAUACACUGGUAUACCUCAGUGUAUACAGAAACUUGGAAGGAGAAAUAGGCCCAAAAUCCUUGAAAAGUUUGUUUUGUCCAGCAGGUCUUGUAGCAGACAAUGGGCUCAAAGGACCAAAUUUGAUACCUCUAUCUUUCUCUUUAUUUUUGUAGCCACUAAGCUAUUAUUUUAGUUUGGAAAAAUAACUUAAAUACACAACUAUAAGUUUAGUAUUCUCUAA
Molecule: non-coding RNA, 1211 nt
Organism: Solanum lycopersicum (tomato)
Lineage: Eukaryota; Viridiplantae; Streptophyta; Magnoliopsida; Solanales; Solanaceae
Source: RefSeq, a predicted model, not a curated record